This 418-nucleotide ribosomal RNA is filed under the name uncultured Hyphomicrobiaceae bacterium. RNAcentral's name for it is "bacterial SSU rRNA". It matches the Rfam family "Bacterial small subunit ribosomal RNA", at positions 962 to 1382 of the family's 1533-position model. The record is from RNAcentral. Lineage: Bacteria; Pseudomonadati; Pseudomonadota; Alphaproteobacteria; Hyphomicrobiales; Hyphomicrobiaceae.
CGAAGAACCUUACCAGGCCUUGACAUCCUCGGAACUUUCCAGAAAUGGAUUGUGCCUCGGGAACCGAGAGACAGGUGCUGCAUGGCUGUCGUCAGCUCGUGUCGUGAGAUGUUGGGUUAAGUCCCGCAACGAGCGCAACCCUCGCCAUUAGUUGCCAUCAUUAAGUUGGGCACUCUAGUGGGACUGCCGGUGAUAAGCCGGAGGAAGGUGGGGGAUGACGUCAAGUCAUCAUGGCCCUUACGGGCUGGGCUACACACGUGCUACAAUGGCGGUGACAGUGGGCAGCAACUCAGCAAUGGGGAGCUAAUCUCAAAAAGACCGUCUCAGUUCGGAUUGGGGUCUGCAACUCGACCCCAUGAAGUCGGAAUCGCUAGUAAUCGCGGAUCAGCACGCCGCGGUGAAUACGUUCCCGGGCCUU